GUACCUAUAAGUAUAACUGUUCUAGUUACAAUAUGUAUACAAUUGUGCCUUAACUAUUUGCCUUUCUUUGGCAACGUUAUAUAGUGAAAUAUGCAAUCUAUAAUUGUUUGGAUUAUUUCCUUGGAACAGUUGGAAGCUCUAAAUUAUUCUAAAAAAAUGGGCUGAUAGUGGGACAGGUGUGGAAGGUGGAAUACAUAAAGUUAUUUAAUUUAUAUUUAUAACCAAUGAUAACGAAAAACGAUUCGGAGUGAAGUUCGGUUAUACUUAUUUUGAAAUGCUAUUUUUUCGUCAAAAUUUGAUUUUAAAACUUUUUUUUUUUUACCACUAAGAACGACUAAAAAUUUUCAAAAAUUUCUG
Cinara cedri is the source of this 357-nucleotide non-coding RNA. Lineage: Eukaryota; Metazoa; Arthropoda; Insecta; Hemiptera; Aphididae. The record is from the annotation of a GenBank genome assembly.